This 493-nucleotide ribosomal RNA is filed under the name uncultured bacterium. RNAcentral's name for it is "partial 16S ribosomal RNA". It matches the Rfam family "Bacterial small subunit ribosomal RNA", at positions 29 to 504 of the family's 1533-position model. The record is from RNAcentral.
AUGAACGCUGGCGGCGUGCCUAAUACAUGCAGGUCGAGCGAACGGACGAGAAGCUUGCUUCUCUGAUGUUAGCGGCGGACGGGUGAGUAACACGUGGAUAACCUACCUAUAAGACUGGGAUAACUUCGGGAAACCGGAGCUAAUACCGGAUGAUAUUUUGAACCGCAUGGUUCAAAAGUGAAAGACGGUCUUGCUGUCACUUAUAGAUGGAUCCGCGCUGCAUUAGCUAGUUGGUAAGGUAACGGCUUACCAAGGCAACGAUGCAUAGCCGACCUGAGAGGGUGAUCGGCCACACUGGAACUGAGACACGGUCCAGACUCCUACGGGAGGCAGCAGGAGGGAAUCUUCCGCAAUGGGCGAAAGCCUGACGGAGCAACGCCGCGUGAGUGAUGAAGGUCUUCGGAUCGUAAAACUCUGUUAUUAGGGAAGAACAUAUGUGUAAGUAACUGUGCACAUCUUGACGGUACCUAAUCAGAAAGCCACGGCUAACUAC